This 138-nucleotide unclassified non-coding RNA is filed under the name uncultured Helotiales. RNAcentral's name for it is "sequence contains ITS2". The record is from RNAcentral. Lineage: Eukaryota; Fungi; Ascomycota; Leotiomycetes; Helotiales.
CAACCCUCACGCCCUGCGUGGUCUUGGGCCGAGCCUCUGGGCUGGCCUCAAAAACAGUGGCGGUGCCUCUGGGUCCUGAGCGUAGUAAUACUUCCGCUACAGGGUCCCCGAGAGCGCUGGCCGAACCCCAACUCUACA